RNAcentral lists this ribosomal RNA (273 nucleotides) under uncultured bacterium. RNAcentral's name for it is "partial 16S ribosomal RNA". The record is from RNAcentral.
CUGCUGCCUCCCGUAGGAGUUUGGGCCGUGUCUCAGUCCCAAUGUGGCCGUCCACCCUCUCAGGCCGGCUACUGAUCGUCGCUUUGGUAGGCCGUUACCCUGCCAACUGGCUAAUCAGACGCGGGCCCAUCUUAUACCACCGGAGUUUUUCACCCUGGGCCAUGCGGCCCUGGGCGCUUAUGCGGUCUUAGCACCUAUUUCUAAGUGUUAUCCCCCUGUAUAAGGCAGGUUACCCACGCGUUACUCACCCGUCCGCCACUAAAGUAAAAAUUU